GCCCUGAAACAGUGACCAGAGGAAGGUGCCUCCUCCUUCCCAGAACAUUAAUCUUCAAACAGAGGCAACACUGUGAGCUGUCAGGGAUGCAGAAGGUGGGCCUACUUAGAGACUGAGGGCUGAAUGGACAAGAGAUCAGCCCAAGAAGCCAUUGGUCUCAAGGAAAAGGGGCACCACUGCCUUUACUUGAUAGUGCUGAGUUAGGCGCAGUGGAGACUGGCUGGAGGUGGGAGGGGGGAGGAGAAGCGUAGAGGCAUGCAGGGGUGUGAGCCAGAGACAGGGGAAGAGGCUGAAAGAGACAGAGAUAAGAGAAGCAAAAAAGAGGGGUGGAAGGGAGGGCAAGAGAUGGGAACGGGUGCUGGGGCAGGCAGCGAAGGGAGAAAGAUGGGAGGAGAUGUGGACGGAAAGGCUAAAGGGUGAAGCUGCUGCCAUAGCUGCCCCCAGGCUCCCUCCCAGUGCCAACCUGGGGAGCUCAGAGACCCCUACACGGAUACGAAAACCCAUCCUGCCUCCCCAACUCUCUCCCCUAAAAUGCUGCAAUCAAAAGAGACCUGAGGCUCAGCCUUCAAUUUU
RNAcentral lists this long non-coding RNA (573 nucleotides) under Equus caballus (horse). RNAcentral's name for it is "lncRNA (ENSECAG00000044212.1)". The record is from RNAcentral. Lineage: Eukaryota; Metazoa; Chordata; Mammalia; Perissodactyla; Equidae.